Molecule: ribosomal RNA, 434 nt
Filed under: uncultured Coprococcus sp.
Lineage: Bacteria; Bacillati; Bacillota; Clostridia; Lachnospirales; Lachnospiraceae
Description: partial 16S ribosomal RNA
Rfam family: Bacterial small subunit ribosomal RNA
Source: RNAcentral
ACGGAAGGCAGCAGUGGGGAAUAUUGGACAAUGGGGGAAACCCUGAUGCAGCGACGCCGCGUGAAGGAUGAAGUAUUUCGGUAUGUAAACUUCUAUCAGCAGGGAAGAUAGUGACGGUACCUGACUAAGAAGCCCCGGCUAACUACGUGCCAGCAGCCGCGGUAAUACGUAGGGGGCAAGCGUUAUCCGGAUUUACUGGGUGUAAAGGGAGCGUAGGCGGCUGUGUAAGUCAGAAGUGAAAGCCCGCGGCUUAACUGCGGGACUGCUUUUGAAACUGCACGGCUUGAGUGCAGGAGAGGUAAGCGGAAUUCCUAGUGUAGCGGUGAAAUGCGUAGAUAUUAGGAGGAACACCAGUGGCGAAGGCGGCUUACUGGACUGUAAAUGACGCUGAGGCUCGAAAGCGUGGGGAGCAAACAGGAUUAGAUACCCUGGUA